RNAcentral lists this transfer RNA (91 nucleotides) under Jeotgalicoccus coquinae. Its description in RNAcentral is "tRNA-Ser". It matches the Rfam family "tRNA". Rfam says of the family: Transfer RNA (tRNA) molecules are approximately 80 nucleotides in length. Their secondary structure includes four short double-helical elements and three loops (D, anti-codon, and T loops). RNAcentral also lists the same sequence under 1 other name. Lineage: Bacteria; Bacillati; Bacillota; Bacilli; Caryophanales; Staphylococcaceae. The record is from RNAcentral.
UGGGGAUGUACUCAAGUGGCUGAAGAGGUGCCCCUGCUAAGGGCAUAGGUCGCAUUGCGCGGCGCGAGAGUUCAAAUCUCUCCAUCUCCGU